GGAAUAAUGGUUUUGACUUGUCAUAUUUUCUAUCUCUUAUUCCGCUGGGUAUUUGGUCGCCUUUCUGAUUUUAUCUUGUUUUUACCAUUUUUCAAGGUAGAGUAGAAACAUUAAUUCAAUGUCUAGCUGGCUGAUUGAGUAUCGCAUGGAAGUGAAAAACCUCACCUUUCUAUGAUUAGCAAAGAACAUAAUAUUCAUAAUCUG
RNAcentral lists this unclassified non-coding RNA (204 nucleotides) under Hevea brasiliensis (rubber tree). Lineage: Eukaryota; Viridiplantae; Streptophyta; Magnoliopsida; Malpighiales; Euphorbiaceae. The record is from RNAcentral.